This 1000-nucleotide unclassified non-coding RNA is filed under the name Hevea brasiliensis (rubber tree). The record is from RNAcentral. Lineage: Eukaryota; Viridiplantae; Streptophyta; Magnoliopsida; Malpighiales; Euphorbiaceae.
GCCUGAAUUCUGACUGGAUCCGAGAAUUCAUAUUUAUCAUCCUCCCUUAGAUAAAGUGUAAUUUGUGUUCCUCGAGUUAGAAGAUUUUCAGGAUUAGUUUCCUCUCUGAUGACAUAUGAGCUACUGUCAGCCUCCGCCUCCCAAACAAACUGUUUAUCUGACCUUGGGCUCUUCGUGGAAACUACAACCUUUUGCGCAACAAGAAAUGCAGAAUAGAAACCAACACCAAAUUGACCAAUCAAUCCAUUGUCAGCUCCCAGGUCUUUGUUUUCCUUAAGUGCCUUCAAGAAUUUUGAGGUACCACUUUGGGCAAUAGUCCCAAGACAGUCUAUGAGCUCUUCUUUUGUCAUUCCAAUACCAGUAUCCGUUAUAGUAACAGUCCCAUUGUCUGGAUCAGGUUUGAUGCGAAUCUCUAGCUCACUAGAAUCUCCAAGUAAAGAGGGCUCCGUCAAACUCAGAAAUCUCAACUUAUCAAGGGCAUCACUAGCAUUACUCACAAGCUCUCGCAAGAAAACCUCCUUGUGACUGUAUAGACUGUGAACAAUCAAGUCCAUUAGGCGACUGACCUCAGCCUGAUAUUCAUGGGUCUCCCCAGAUGUCUCAGAAGCUUCUUUUUCAGCUACAGCAGAAGCCUCACACCUAACCACUACUCCAACAUCUCUUUUAUCCUGUUUCCACCUCAACCCAGAUUGUAAAAAUCCAUUCUUGAUAUUAUUCCUAGGCAAGAAAGUAGUUUUAAGACAGACCCUAUUGGUACUACCACUCCCCAAUACAAAAGAUGGACUGUAAGGCACUGAAGCCAUAGGUGAAGAAGUCAAACUCCUGCUUACUACAGGGGCCAUUAUCUAAACUAUUUGAGAAAAUCCCACAAAGGAUUCUUGAAAUUUCUGUGAAUUUUUUUCACUGUGUGUUUGUGUGUGUGUAUGGAUAAAGGGAUUGAGCUAAAGAAUUCUUGAGGGUUUGUGUAAAAACCCUGAAAUGUGGAGAAGGGGGUUUAAGG